Non-coding RNA from Triticum urartu, 462 nucleotides. Lineage: Eukaryota; Viridiplantae; Streptophyta; Magnoliopsida; Poales; Poaceae. The record is from RefSeq and is a predicted model, not a curated record.
AGGUUUGCUGAUGUCUAACACUGUACAAAGGAUGUCAAGUUUUCCAAGAUCAUUUGCAAGUCAUUUGAGGCCAGGAUAUAGACCUACUCCAACUUCUUCUUCUGAUGGAAAUGGCUCUCUGGUGUCGGAUGGAGGGUCUAGGUAUUCAUGAUCAGUGCUACCUUCAUUUUAUGUUGGUUAGUUGCCUUUGUCUACCAUCCUUUUCAUUUUUCUACUGACAUACACAAAGCAAUUAUAGAUUUGGUGGAAAACCAGUAGCUAACAGCAAGUUGAUGAUUUUCGAGGAUCCUUUAUAGAUUUCUUGUGUUCUCGGUCGUGGCUGAUUGUAGAUUUUUGUGGUGAAACUUUGGCUGCUGACAUGAUGGUAUUGUGGUUUAGAGACACCACACCAUUAUGUCUAGCGUUAAAAUGGAUACUUUCUUUUUGCGGGUAGAAACAAACAGAUUCUACCCAAGUGAUCAG